Long non-coding RNA from Tupaia belangeri chinensis (Chinese tree shrew), 673 nucleotides. RefSeq lists it as uncharacterized. The record is from RefSeq and is a predicted model, not a curated record. The transcript has 4 exons. NCBI's taxonomy places the organism in Eukaryota, Metazoa, Chordata, Mammalia, Scandentia, Tupaiidae.
GCCUGCGCCUCGGUCGCCUUGGUUACCGCGUUGCCACGUCCCCAUAGCAACCAGAAUGCCUCGUCCUGCCUGUGUCUGCCGGCAGAGGGAGCAGGGGAGCCCCGCGGGAGGAAGAAGCGAGAAAGGGGCAGCCGCCGGGAAGGGCGGGAGAGCCUUCUAUGUACUAUUUGAUAUAUCCUCACAACAACCCAAUUUUUGUCCAAGAAGAUUAGACUCAUAAAAUGUAACAAAUGUUGCCCAGAAUUACGAAGCUACCAAGGACCCACCCAGAGAAUGAAUCCAAGCGGCUCAGCCUUGGAACUCUCCCACAUAGGCUGUUCAGUGGCUUACCCAAGGUUCCGGGAAGCACGGUCCAGGACUCUCUGCUUCAUACCAAAACCAUGACCCAGGAGGACGUGUGGGAUAAAAGGUCGAAGCUUACAUGAAGACACAUGUCCACAGGCAUGCAUACGCCACCAAGGUGAUGUUAAAUGUGGAGAAAACAAUCUAAGAAGGAGGUUGUAUGGGUAUCAGUGAACCAUCGCAAAGGGCUUUGAGGAGAAAAUAUACAUCCGUUCUUUUCCAUGAUGUGUUCUAGAUUUUUGUCCUUUUCAUUCAAGGAAUGAGCCAGUAUGGAUACAAAUUAACCAAGUUCAAAGGAUUGUAGAAUGUAGUCUCGAGCUGGAUACAAGGU